GAAAAGUUCAUUAAAAGCAUUAAGCUCCCAAUUAUCCGGGCAUAUUGAGACCUCGAAAUAGGUUAUCCUAUAUUUUUCUUUAAUUAAGAGUUAACAUCAUAAGAGAUGUCUACUGAUUUAAAGUCAUAUAAUAGCUAAACUUCCUAAAAAAAAUUCAAUAUAUUGUUCUUGGAAUAGUAAUAUAUUAUUUUCCUUCCUCGUGACUCUAACUCCUAAAAUCACAUUUGUUUCACCCAUAUCUUUCAUUUAAAACCUCGACCCAAAAAAACUUUUUGUUUUAAAAACUAUAUUAUCGCUUGUACCAAAACUAUAUAUAAUAAAUUUAAGUUCACUUCUUAAAAAUUGUAGUUAAAUUUAAAAGCUUAUUUAUCAAAAUAACUUGGAUCAAUUAUGAAUUGUUGAUUUCUUUUCUACAGAAUAUGCUUAUAGGAGCAACGGACACAACUUCUGCUACAACGGUCUGGGCUAUGACCGCACUGCUAAAAAAUCCAAGAGUAAUGAAGAAAGUUCAAGAAGAACUUAGGAAUUUGGGGAAUGAAAAGGAUUUUCUACAUGAAGAUGAUAUUCAAAAGCUUCCCUAUUUAAAGGCUGUGAUAAAAGAGACACUGAGACUGCACCUACCAGCACCCCUACUUGUGCAAAGGGAAACAAAUGAACCAUGUAUUUUAGAGGGCUAUGAAAUUCCAGCCAAGACAAUAGUGUAUGUGAAUGCUUGGGCUAUCCAUAGAGACCCUAACACUUGGAAAGACCCAGAGGAGUUUUUACCAGAGAGGUUCUUAGAUAGUACAACAGAUUUUCGAGGGCAAGAUUUUGAGUUCAUUCCAUUUGGUGCUGGACGUAGAAUUUGCCCUGGUAUCCUUAUGGCAAUUGCUUCAUUGGAUCUUAUUCUAGCCAAUCUUCUCAGGUCAUUUGAUUGGGAAUUACCACCCGGAAUAAGAAAGGAAGAUAUUGAUACUGAAGUGUUGCCAGGAAUUACUCAGCAUAAGAAGAAUCCUCUCUAUGUUUUGGCUAAGUUUCGAGUCUAAAAGUUUGAUUAAUAAAAUGUGUGCAAUAUUAUGUUUUGUUGUUGUUUUGUGUCUUUAGCUGCAUGGGGAUAAUAUUGUGUUCAAUCCCUAUUCCAGAAUAUCUUUUUAUUGUAUAAUUAAAUUUAGAUAUUGAUUUUGGUUGUAUGUACAAUGAGAUGAGAAAUGUGUCCCUCUUUGUAUUUUGUAUGAAUGGCCAAUGAAUAUCAUAAAAUUAUUGAAGUAAUACUAAUGAACCUAGUGAUAUGUAACAAUGGAGGAAUUGAUGUACUUGUGUUGGUAUUAUAGGUCGAUAAAAAAAACAUUUAUGUAUGUUCAUGAGAUUAAGACAAAAGAUUCACUUAAUAAAGUUAAAACUUACUUUUUCUUUUAAAAGAAAAUUACUUAGUAUAAUUGCUAAAUAAAGAAUUAUCCUAAGAAAACUCCUAAAUUUACUAAAUAGGUACCGUAUAAUAUAAAGAAAGUAUAAGAUGAUUGGGGACUAGACUAAAAUCUAUAGAAUUGAUCAUCAAAAGAAAAUAAUGAAAAAUAGUUCUUAUUAUAUUGUACGGUUCCGAGGGGUCUCAAUCAAGACUUUGGUUAAAUAUUUUUCGAAUAACGUGACUGAUAUAGUCCUUAUAAAUGCCAUAAACAUCUUUUAAUACAAAUGAUUAACGUAAUUACUGUACAAAAUUUUAUCUAAAAUUUUAAAGUUAACUCAAUAAUAUACCUUAAUUUUGGUCUAGUGUCUGGCCAUCACAAUCAUGUAAAUCAGCACACCAACCAAGACAAUAUUCCACUCAACUAUCGCAUAUUGAAUACUGACUUAGACAUCAGAGUAUCUUUUACAGAUAUACCACCUACAGCGAUCGAAGAUCGAAGACCAUACGAUAUCCUUAACUAGAAUUAACAACAAUUUAAAAAGCUUAAUGAAGAAUUGAGAUAUUUUCAGUCCUUUUGUAAGUACACUUAUUUUUUAAGAAAUUAUAAUUGUUGAAGUAUGUGCUUCGAGAGUGAUCUCAAUAAAAAAAAAAUGCUCUUAAAACCUCUAAGAAAGUCAUGGUAUUAUUAUGAAAAUACAACCACAAUAGAGCCUGGUUAUCACUUAACUUUCUCAGUUUUUUUAUUAGCAAAAAAGGACCAUUUCAGGAGUUAAGACUUUCUAAGUGUUGCAUUUAAUUCAUGAAAUAUGGAGAAAGAUCUAUCCAGUUAACUUUAAUGAACACAAAAUAGGAAAAUGGUUAAAAGUUAUAUUAAAAAAUGUAUCAUGGAAGAGGAUUCAUUAAUUUUUUAGAUUUUUCCAAGGAAACUUAUCUUCUGGAAAAAAUAAAACUUCAUACAAGAAUGAUGAGAUGUAAUUUAUUUAUUUUUAAAUGUUUUAUGUAUAUUUGUCCAUUAAAUAGUUUAUGUAUAGAUUUUAUAAAGUGAAAGUAAGACGCAUAAGAAUUUAUUUCAGAUUUUAAAUUUUAAAUAUCAUGUGAAAAUUAAAAUAAUUUUUUAAUUGAAUAUUAUUUUCUUAAAUUUAAUUAAUUGUUUAUUCUAUAAGUUUAAAAUUUUGUUUCUAUAAAGCAAAAAUGUUCAUAUUCAUGUGUUAUUAUAUAUUUAGUUAAAAGGUUGUAUAUUAUUCUUUAUACUUCAAUGAAAAAUAAUCAUUUUCAUUUUCUGUAUUUUCAUAAUUUCAAUGGUUGUAAAAUAAAGCUACUAAAAAAUAUUUUAAAAAAAGGGAUAAAAACACAUUUAAAACGAUAUAAUUAUUAUAAUAAAAGUAUAUAAUUUAUCAUAAUAAUUUAAAUAUUUAUAUAUAAUCAAUAAUUCUGCAUUUUAAUUCAUUUCACUUUUAUUUCUCUUUGCUAAAUUAACUCAUCGAGCAUCCACGUUUGUCACCAUAGUUGUCUCGUCCUAUAGUUCAAUUAGUGAGGUGAUAAAAACCAUAUUAAAGGACAAUUUCACUUAAGAUGAAAUAACCUUACAAAAAUGUAAUACUCAAUUAUGAACUCUUAACCAUAGACUUCAAAAUAUAAUUACAACACAAUACAAAAAAAAACAUAUAAAAAAUUAAAGCUCAUAGAACUCACCUUUAACAGCAAAUGGUGGUUAAAGAUCCAACACCACCAAAAUCAAAGGGAGAGAGAUCUCCAAACCUCAAAAGAAGGAACAAUAAGAUGAGCUUUUUAUAAGACACCCAAAGAAGAACACAAGAUUUUACAGUAACAACAUACAAUAGAACAUGAGUAGAGAUUUAGCACCAACGUUCAAUCCCAACAUGGAAUUCUCCUAAAGACUUUUUUUCAAUAUGCUUGUAGGUUUCAAUGCGUCUUGAUCUUUAGCUCAUCUUUAAAAUCAUUAUGUAUAUGUAAAUCUUCAAUCAUUAAGGCUUGAUAUUGUUUUCCUUACUAAAUGUGUGAAUCACAUGUUGUAGCUUCUUCAUUUUAAACGCUCUUAAAGGAAACUUUUCCAAAUCUUUGCCAAAUUUAUGUUGUAGUGACACCUAUUGUGUUUUGGAGAUUUUCCUCGUUUUUCUAAAGGAGUCUUCGUAUGUGCAUUCAAGGUUCUAGACUAAUGGAUCCAUCUCAAGGUUCGAUGACGAUGAUGAUGUAACAAUUUUGCAUUUGGUAAGUACCAUAAAGCUUUGUGGCUUAAGAAUAAUUUUACCCAGACCCUACGGUGGGAACCAAAUGUUCUUACCAGGAAGAACCAUUCUCUCAAGGUAGAAAGAGUGAUACUUUGAGAAAAUUGAGCUUAAUUCUUCGAGGAAGGGUCACCAAGUUGUUAAUGAAGAUUGAAAGGAGAUUCACCUGUAAAAGAUUGUCGUUCAAGUCAGUAAAAACUAGAAAAGUUGUUGAAUAUAUGAAAAUAUGAAUGUUUGAAUAAAAAAAAUUGUAUAUACAUAUAAAUAUUCAAAUUAUAAAUAAUAUAAAUUAUCUUCACGAAUGUUCAAAUAUCUAUGAGGCAAGUAGUACAAUAUAAUUUCAUGCCCCACCAUUGUAACAGUACAUUAUUAUGAAAUAUUGAGAAAUUAUCUUUUAUUAUUUUAUAAAAAAAUAAAACUUAAACAGAACAUAAAUAUGAUUAAUAUUACGAAGUGGACUUUAAGCCUAACUCAAUCCCAUAAAACCGGCUCAUAGGGUUGAGGUCUGCACCCAUUUAUAUACAAUGAAUUGUCCUUAUCUCUAGUCGAUGUGGGAUCUCCAACACACUCCCUCACGCCGAGAGUGGGAUAACAUAUUAUGGGUGGUGGCCUGAUAAACCCAACAAAUACUCGCUAGGAUAGGAUCGAAAUGGCUCUGAUAUCAUAUUAAAGAGUGGACUUUAAGCCUAACUCAACCCCAUAAAACCGGCUCAAUGAGGUGAGGAUUGCACCCACUUAUAUACUAUGAAAGGCUCUAAUAUCUAGUCGAUGUGGGAUCUCCAACACCCCCCCCUCACGCUGAGAGUGAUAGAUAGGAGUUCGUGCGUGGGAUAACAUAUUAUGGGUGUUGGCCUGAUAAACCCAACACUCGCUAGGAUAGGCUCGAAACAAAAACAGUUUUUUACAAAGAUUAAUAAAAACAACUUGAAUCUUCUGAUUUUUAUUAAAUAUACUUUUUUAUUCAUAAUUGUGAUGUUCAAUUUUAUGCUAUUAUUUUAAAUAUUUUUAACUUGUUUAAUUUAAAAAAUAAGUUAAUACAAUUUAUCCUAUCAAAUUCAUGGUAACCUUUAUUGUAAAGUCUAGUAACAUUUUUUUUCAUGCUAGAUGUCAUUUUUGUUAAUAAGUUCACUUUGAGUCAUCAACCUAACAUUCCAAAGAAAGACUCUACAUUAUUUUCAUAUCAAAACACAUAUAUGCAAUAAUCACUCACAGGAUUAUCUAUCCAAAGCAAGACUAAGCAUUAUUUAUACACCAAGACACGUAUAUGUAAUAGAUACUCAAACAAGGAUUAAUUAUAUACAAUAUCAGUAUGUAGUGACCUCUCUCUCAUUGUCUAUAUACUCAAUGGUGACUGAAUUCACAAUAGAGUCUCAAUAUUUGGACAACUCAUACCAACAUCAUUUUUCUUCACAAUAUCAUAGCUUCAAAAGAGGCCUUUUUCGGAGAAAAAAAAAUCUGAAAAAUCAUAAAUAUUUACAGAAACUAAGUACACCAAAAUAUAUACAGUUUAAAGGUAUAUUCCACAAAAAAUCAUCAUACUCCAAAAAAAUAAGCAAAUACCAAACACAAACAAAAUGUAUUACCUUUGGUCACCAAUACCACCACCCAACCACUAUCAAAACAGUCGCACCCACGAUGACGACCAAUCACUGUGGAAAGAUGUGCACCCACCACCACGACCAACCACCUCAAAACAGCCACACCCAUGACGACGACCAACCACCGUGAAAAGAGGCGCACCCACCACGACCACCACCAAUGGUUGAAGAGAAAGCUUGAGGAGAAGGUGUAAGAGGAUGUGGAGGAGAAGAGGGAAAACGACAACGAACUCAAAAAGAAAGUGAAAGAGGUGCAACCCCAAUUUCUAACCUAAUUUCACAAUGCGACCAAGAGACUCAAAUAUUAUAUUUUCAGAAAUUUUAUUGGGUCCCACAACAGAAAUAAAAUAUUAUUAUCUUUGUCACAUCAACAGUUGUAUGUUGGAGCAAUGCAUUUGUGGUUGUUCAACCAUCAUUCUUCAAUUAAAAGUUGCAUUCUCAGAGUUCCAAAUCUAUUCCCAGUCCAGCAGAAAAAUUUAACUUUUAGAAAAAUAAAAUAAAGCUCUUGUGUACACUGCUUGGAGUUCAUGUUUACCUAGCUUGUUAAAACUGCUUCUUCCUGUACUUUCAUCACUCCUUCAACCACCUCUAUAAAUUUUUAAAUUCUCAAAAAACUUCUUCACUAAAAAGAUAAAAUAGAAACAAUGUUUUACACUGCGAAUUAUAUAAUCUAGAAGUCAAAAGUUAUAAAUUCUAGAUUAAGUAAUCUAAAACCUAUUUAACAACUCAAAAUACCGGAUUAUGUAAUACAUAACUUAUUUAAGAAAAUAAACUUAUUAGAUUACAUAAUUGGAAUUAAAAAAUUACCACCUUCGAAUUACAUAAUUCGGAACUGUUAAUUUUUAAUUUUUGACUUCCGAAUUACGUAAUCCAGUAAAUUUAUUUACUUAAAUAAGCUCUGGAUUGCGUAAUCCGAUAUUGUAUGUUAUUAAAUAAGUUUCGCAUUAUGUAAUCCAGAAGUUGUAAUUUUUUACUUCCAGAUUACAUAAUCUGAAAGCUGUAAUUUUUUACUUCCAAAUUAUGUAAUCUGAAAUCUGUAAUUUUUUUACUUCCGAAUUACGUAAUUCAUAGUAUAAAACAUUACUUUUAUUUUUUACUGAAGGCUAAUUUUAGAAAUUUACAAAUUUAUGGAGGUGGCUGAAGAAGUGAUGGAAGUGCAGGAAGAAGCAGUCCUUGUAAAAAUUGUACAAAUUUACGCUGUUUCUUUCUGCACCCUAAUAAAUUUCUUCCUACACUCAUCACUUUCAAAGAAGACUGUUUUACCAUUAUGAAAAUGACUUCCAAUCUCAUCAUGUAUAUAUAUAACUAUGUCAACCUCAAUCUUUUUUAAUACUUCCCAGAUAUUUCUCAGCCAAGGUAGUUGAUAAUUUUGGGAUCCUACCUUAGUUUAUGAGGUUGUAGUGUAAUAAUCUAAACCUUCUUACCCUACCAUAUAUAGUACAAUUAGUAUAAGUAUAAUAGAAAAACUUCCUAAAGUACAAAAGAGAAGUAAAAAAACUAAAUUUAGGAAAAAAUAAUUCAUGAUGACCAAAAUGACACAUGUAUUGAUAAGAAAAGGAAUUGUAACUCUCCUUACCAAAUCAUAAAUGAAAUUAUUAACUUCAUUAAAUACUAAAUAGUUAAGUUAGUUUUUUAUGUUCUUUAACUACUUCACUCUAAAAUAUACUACAUGUUUCUAGAUUAUUAUAGAAAACGUUCAUUUUUGUAAGGGAAUUUUAGUAAAAGCAUUUUUAAAAUAUUUGGAUAUUCUUAGAUCAUUAUAGAAAAUCUUUCUUAAAGAGAAUUUCUAUUCCAAUAUAUAACACAAUAUUUUGUUUCAAAACAGAUUUGAACUUUUAUUUUACAAUUAAUCUCUAAACUCCUAAGUUUUCUACUUUUGUUAUUGUCCUCUCAAUGGAAUUUUGUACUUAUUUUACUUUCUAUAGUUUUUCAUUGAGGAAUCUUUUGGAUUUUGGAAUCAUCGUCGACGUCAUACUAGUAAAAUAUUAUUGUGAAAUUGACGUAACAUGGUUAUGCCCCUACAAAAGAUCCUAUAUGAUUCUAACAUGAGGUUCACGAGAGCGUUUUCUUCCACCUCAUUAUAAUAGAAACAACGUUAUCCCCUACAAUGUUGUGCCCUACAAUGUUGUCUCCACUUCUAAUUCUAUGCCUUGCUAUUCCUGUGUUUUUCUCCUUCUUCCUCUGCCGCAAAACCUUGAACAACCCACCAUUUCCACCUGGUCCCAAAGGGCUUCCCAUAAUAGGGAACCUUCAUCAGCUGAAUACUUCUGCUCUUCCUCUUCAGCUAUGGAAAUUCUCAAAAAAAUAUGGCCCAAUAUUUUCCCUCAAAUUAGGUUUAAGGCCAGCCAUUGUUGUUUCCUCUCCUAAACUUGCCGAAGAGGUAAUGAAGGAUUAUGACCUUCAGUUUUGUGGGCGACCUAGAUUAUUUGGCCAACAGAAACUGUCUUAUAAUGGGAUUGACAUUGUCUUUUCCCCAUACAAUAGUUACUGGAGAGAAAUGAGAAAAAUUUGUGUAUUUCAUAUCCUUAGCUCCAUUCGUGUCUCUAACUUUUCCUCAAUAAGACACUUAGAGGUCAAGCAAAUGAUGGGAAAAAUAUCCAUGUAUGCCUCAUCUUCUAAGGUUACCAAUUUGAGUGAUGCACUCAUGUCCCUCACCAGCACUAUCAUAUGUAGAAUUGCCUUUGGGAGAAGGUAUUGUAAGAGACAUGGAGAAUACUACUCUUCACUCUCAAACAAACUCACUUAAUUUUGAUUUCUUAUAUUCUGCAGUUGUGAAAAGUAACAUUUUUCUUCUAAAUUUUAGACUAAAAUGAGUGACAGAUAUACUUUCAAAACUGUUUUCUAAGUACCAAGUUUAAUCAAAUGUUUCACAAUUUUUAGUAUCAUAUGUGUUGUUCCAUUUUCCACCAGGUAUGAAGAUGAAGGAACAGAAAGGAGCAUGUUCCAUAGGCUACUGAAUGAGUGUCAAGCCAUGUUGGCCAUGCUGUUUUUCUCAGAUUAUAUUCCUUUCUUGGGUUGGAUUGAUAAACUCAGAGGACUACGUGGUCGUCUUGAACAGAAUUUCAAGGAGUUGGAUACGUUCUACCAACAAGUCAUUGAUGAACACAUGGAUCCCAACCGAAAGAAACCAGAGAACGAGGAUUUAAUAGAUGUCUUGCUUCAACUCAAAAACCAACGUUCGUUUUCUGUAGAUCUCGAAAAUGAUCAUAUCAAAGCUGUGUUCAUGGUUUGGAGUUCCUUCCCUUUCCUCAUUUAAUUUAUCUACUUGAGAUAGACCAUUUAAUUUAAAUAUUAUGUGUUUAAUUAAAACUUUGUUAGAAGUUAAAAUUUUUACUCCAAAUAGAAUUUUAACUACAAAGUUUAUCCAUAUAAACUUCAAUAUUUUAGUGUUAGCAGAACUAAAAUAUUUUAGUGUUAGGAGAAUUAAGUGAUUUGUUUGGACCCAUAUAAACCUUAUUCAUAGGAUCUCCGAUGACAAAGGUUGGGUUCCAUCACUUGUUUUUUUUUUACAAGUGACUUGACUCUCAUUCCCUUUGAUGUUUCAUGAUUCUUCCUGUGAUUUUGUCAGAGAAUCUAUUAGAUUCAUUUUGACUUAAUAUAAUUAAUGGAAAAUGUUUCACUCUUUAUAAGCUACUUUACCAAAUUAUGUCUCAAAUGUGUAUGUAUGUUCUUUCCAUUCUAAGUUUUGUUUUUAGAUAUAGUUAUUGUUGUUUGACAAUCACAAUGCAUUGAUACAAAUGAUGUUGGUUUCAUUCCUAACGAAAUAUUUGCUACGAAGUUUUUCAACCACUCAACUUAACUUCCAACUAUUUCAAGAACAAAAAACUUUGAUUCCAUUGUUGAUCUUGCAAUAAUUGUUUGCACGACAGAUUUCCAUGUAAUUGCACCACCUCAAGUAUAAACAUAUAACCACAAGUGAAUGUUGUCUCAUCUGAAUCAGAGAUCUAGUUAGCAUCAUUGUAUUGUUUUAGCAAAGGAGGAAAUCCACUAUAUUCAAUGACAUAAUCUAUUGUACCUUUUAAGUAUUUUAUAAGUUUUGCAAGUGCAUCCCAAUGAUCCUAAUUAGGAUAUUAAGUGUACCUACUCAAUCUUUUUACUGCAUACAAUGUCUGGUCUAGAAAAGUUCAUUACAAGCAUUAAGCUCCCAAUUAUUCGGGCAUAUUAAGACUGAGAAAUAGGUUAUCCUAUAUUUUUCUUUAAUUAAGAGUUAACAUCAUAAGAGAUGUUUAUUGAUUUAAAGUCAUAUAAUAGCUAAACUUCCUAAAAAAAAAUUUAGUAUAUUGUUCUUGAAAUAGUAAUAUAUUAUUUUCCUUCCUCAUGACUCUAACUCCUAAAAUCACAUUUGUUUCACCCUUAUCCUUCAUUUAAAACCUCGACUCAAGAAAACUUUUUGUUUUAAAAACUAUAUUAUCGUUUGUACCAAAAGUUAACAUGUCAUCCAUAUAUAAACAUAUAUUAUGAAUUUAAGUUCACUUCUUAAAAAUUGUAGUUAAAUUUAAAAGCUUAUUUAUCAAAAUAACUUGGAUCAAUUAUGAAUUGUUGAUUUCUUUUCUACAGAAUAUGCUUGUAGCAGCAACGGAUACAACUUCUGCUACAACGAUUUGGGCUAUGACCGCACUGCUAAAAAAUCCAAGAGUAAUGAAGAAAGUUCAAGAAGAACUUAGGAAUUUAGGGGGUGAAAAGGAUUUUCUACAUGAAGAUGAUAUUCAAAAGUUUCCCUAUUUCAAGGCUAUGAUAAAAGAGACACUGAGACUGCAUCUACCAGCACCCCUACUUGUGCCAAGGGAAACAAAUGAACCAUGUAUUUUAGAGGGCUAUGAAAUUCCAGCCAAGACAAUAGUGUAUGUGAAUGCUUGGGCUAUCCAUAGAGACCCUAACACUUGGAAAGACCCAGAGGAGUUUUUACCAGAGAGGUUCUUAGAUAGUACAACAGAUUUUCGAGGGCAAGAUUUUGAGUUCAUUCCAUUUGGUGCUG
Molecule: long non-coding RNA, 10203 nt
Filed under: Phaseolus vulgaris (common bean)
Lineage: Eukaryota; Viridiplantae; Streptophyta; Magnoliopsida; Fabales; Fabaceae
Description: long non-coding RNA (PVUL_LNC000493)
Source: RNAcentral